This 253-nucleotide ribosomal RNA is filed under the name uncultured bacterium. Its description in RNAcentral is "partial 16S ribosomal RNA". It matches the Rfam family "Bacterial small subunit ribosomal RNA", at positions 524 to 776 of the family's 1533-position model. The record is from RNAcentral.
UACGUAGGUGACGAGCGUUAUCCGGAAUUACUGGGCGUAAAGCGCACGCAGGCGGAUUGAUAAGUCAGGGGUGAAAUCCCGGAGCUCAACUUCGGAAUUGCCUUUGAUACUGUCUGUCUUGAGUCCGGGAGAGGUGAGUGGAAUUCCUAGUGUAGAGGUGAAAUUCGUAGAUAUUAGGAAGAACACCAGUGGCGAAGGCGGCUCACUGGCCCGGUACUGACGCUCAUGUGCGAAAGCGUGGGGAGCAAACAGG